RNAcentral lists this non-coding RNA (797 nucleotides) under Monocellicampa pruni. Lineage: Eukaryota; Metazoa; Arthropoda; Insecta; Hymenoptera; Tenthredinidae. The record is from RNAcentral.
AAAAGUUUGAUUUUAGCUUUUAUAUUUAUUUUAUAAAUUUUUUUGCAUGUAAAUUUUUGUAUGAUUAUAAGUUAUUUUAAAAAAAUAAUUUAAAGAGGUUAAUAUUUGCAGCAUUUAAUUUUAAUAAUUAAGUAAUUUUAGAAUUAUAAUUUAUAUAAAUAUAGGCAAAAAAUGUGCCAGCAGCUGCGGUUACACAUUUUAUAUAAGUAAAUAAUAUUAAAUGUAAAUAGUUUUUUUAUAAAGUUAUAUAUUUAAUAGGUUAGAAAUUAAGUGAAAUUUUUUUUUAAUUAAAGUUAUAUUAUAGAUUAUAUUUUAAAUUAUGAAAUCUUAAUAAUAAACUAGGAUUAGAUACCCUAUUAUUUAAGAUUUAAAAAAAAAUUGAGGAUUAAUAGGUAUGUUCUUUAAACUUAAAAAAAUUGGCGGUAUUUAAAUCUAAUUAGGGGAACUUGUCUUUUAAUUGAUAAUCCUCAAGAAACCUUACUUUAGUUAAUUUAAUUUAUUUAUUGCCGUUAUCAGAUUAUUUUAUAAGAAGAAAAAUUUUCUUAAGUUUUUAUAGAAAAAUAUUUCAGGUCAUUAUAUAGUUUAUAUUGAAGUUAAGAUGAGUUACAAUAGUAUUUAAUUAAAUGAAUAUUUAUUUGAAAUAGUAAAUUAAAAGUGGACUUAAUAGUAAAAUAAAAUAUUAAAUUUAUUUGAAUUUAGAAUUAAAUAUGUACAUAUCCCCCGUCACUCUCGUUUUAAGAUGAGAUAAGUCGUAACAAAGUAGAUUUACUGGAAAGUGUAUCUAGAAUGUUUUUAUU